ACUCAAAUGAAUUGACGGGGACUUGCACAAGCGGUGGAUUAUGUGGUUUAAUUCGAUGGUAAACGAAGAACCUCACCAGGAUUUGAAACCUACACGACAGUCACAGAAAUGUGAUCUCCGAAAGGCGGGUAGGCAGGUGAUGCAUGGCCGUCGUCAGUUCGUGGUUUGAAUUGUUCCCUUAAGUGGGGUAACGAACGCAACCCUCGUCGUGUGUUACAAGUGUCACACGAGACUGCCCCGACCUUUGGACAUGAGCGCUCUAUUAAUUUAGAGUUUGGCUCGUGAAUAAAGGUCGGGGAGGAAGGAGAGGAUGACGCCAGGUCAGCAUGUCCCUUUGAUAUCCUGGGCUACACACAUAAUACAAUCGGCACUACAACGGGUCGCGACGGGGUAACCCUGAGCCAAUCCUUAGAAAGGUGCCGCCAGUUCGGAUUGAGGUCUGCAACUCGACCUCAUGAAGCCGGAAUCGCUAGUAAUCGCGGGUCAGACAUACCGCGGUGAAUACGUUCUCAAGUCUUGUACACACCGCCCGU
RNAcentral lists this ribosomal RNA (533 nucleotides) under uncultured bacterium. Its description in RNAcentral is "partial 16S ribosomal RNA". It matches the Rfam family "Bacterial small subunit ribosomal RNA", at positions 899 to 1397 of the family's 1533-position model. The record is from RNAcentral.